RNAcentral lists this ribosomal RNA (253 nucleotides) under uncultured bacterium. RNAcentral describes it as "partial 16S ribosomal RNA". It matches the Rfam family "Bacterial small subunit ribosomal RNA", at positions 524 to 776 of the family's 1533-position model. The record is from RNAcentral.
UACAGAGGGUGCAAGCGUUGUUCGGAAUUAUUGGGCGUAAAGGGAGUGUAGGCUGUGAGGUAAGUCUUCUGUGAAAUCUACGGGCUUAGCCUGUAAAGUGCAGAGGAAACUGCUUCGCUUGAGUGUCGGAGAGGAUAGGGGAAUACCCGGUGUAGAGGUGAAAUUCGUAGAGAUCGGGUGGAACACCAGUGGCGAAGGCGCCUAUCUGGCUGACAACUGACGCUGAGACUCGAAAGCAUGGGGAGCAAACAGG